This 22-nucleotide non-coding RNA is filed under the name Arabidopsis thaliana (thale cress). The record is from RNAcentral. Lineage: Eukaryota; Viridiplantae; Streptophyta; Magnoliopsida; Brassicales; Brassicaceae.
UUCCGGACCACAGAUUUUUCUU